UCUGACAGGGAAGACUAAUCACCAAAGGCUCGACUAUACAAAUGUUCUGCUCCUCCUGAGUUGCAGGACGCUCUUCACUCCACUCUCCAACCUUCUCUGAGGACAUGAUGCUUCACUGCUGGAAGUUUCUUCCGCUGAACAAUUAUACGACCGCCCACAUGUCCGGCCG
This is a long non-coding RNA of Pygocentrus nattereri (red-bellied piranha), 169 nucleotides long. RefSeq lists it as uncharacterized. NCBI's taxonomy places the organism in Eukaryota, Metazoa, Chordata, Actinopteri, Characiformes, Serrasalmidae. The transcript has 3 exons. The record is from RefSeq and is a predicted model, not a curated record.